UAAUGUAGUUAUAUAGUUAUAUUGAUCAUGUAUAAAAUAAUGUAGAAUUAUUUCCAAACAUAAAAAUAUAAGAUGUAAAUAUUCUAAAGGAAAUGAUGGGGCAAAUAUUUAAAUAACUAAUGGCUAUAUAUUAUUAGGAAUACAGUCUCUCAAGAACCACCAUAUAAAAAGGAUAUUUUAAGGAAAUCUUGGCAUAAAGUAAUUUGGAGGCACUCAUAGCUAACCGUUCGCAUCUGAUUAAACUCUUUUAUCUGAUUCAAUUUUUUAUGCAUCACCCCUAUCUCCAAGUCAUCUAUCCCCAAAUAUCCCUUUCAUAUUACAUAGUAAAGAUUUGCUGAGCUUUUUCUCUGCAGUAUUGAAAAAUCCUUUGACUUCUCAUGAUUUCUCACCCACAACACAAACAAUUAUUACUUUUGUCACUUACUGUCCUUACACCUGUGGGAGCAAUAAUACUUAGUAAGAUUAACUUCUGUGAAUAACUUAUCUGAGGGAAACCCAUGAUAUCCUUAUUAAAGAAGCAAUGGAAAGAUCACAAUGAGCAUUUAAAAAUUUAUUUAUUAGCUUUAAAUAUGCAAAAGACCAAGAUGACUUAAGUUUGAAAAUAUAUUUAUACUUGAUGAAGUGCCAUUGUUCUACUACAAAUAGCACUUCUAUUAUCAAACAACUCUUUCUCUAGAUCAGAGUUAAUUGAAAAUCAUCAAAAAUAUUUAGGGUCAUGCUCUGGUGGGAAGAGUAUGGUAAGGGUAGAAAUUCAGUUUGGGGAUACAAAAUUAGGGGGUAAGAGUACUGCAUUUCAAGGCUGUGAAUGUUUGGAUAGCAAUAAUUCCACAAAAGAAACAGAACAUAAGCAUAUAAACAAACAGAACUGAGCCGCCUCACAGAAACCCUGGGAGCCUCAAGUUGCUAAAAUAGUUUCCCAUAUGUCUGAGAGUUCUGCAGAUGGACACAGGAGUCAAUAUAAUUAGAAUGGCCUUCUGGCUGGAAAAGAUGCUAUCAAGGCUAUGUUGGAUGCUGCAACCAGGAGCUAGAAAGGAAUGUAGAUGUCUCAGCAGAGACCAUCACAAACAAUUUCAAAACCUGGGAUAGCUAGAAAACUUUUUCCAUGUUGGAUGCAAGGAAAACUGACAUCUUAACUGAGAUCCCUCAAGAAUUAAAAUGAGAGGGGUUCAGUGAUAACCCUAGUGUCUAAAAUGCCCACUUCCUCUUCUUGAACACCUAGAUUGAUUCCAGGCUCUGACCCUGAGUUCUUCUUCCUACCAAAGCAGACCCCAGGAAGCAGUGAUAAUAGAUCCAGUAAUUGAAUACUUGCCUUCUAUAUGAAAUUGACCCAGAAAAAUUCUUUGUGGGAAGUCAGGGGGUGAACCAAUUGAUGAGAGGCGUUUCUGCUUUUGUUUCUCAAAUUCAUUAAAUAAAAAAUAAGAAUUAGAAGUAGAGAAACAGGUAUGAAUGUUAGAAAUUUGCUUUGCAAGUCAAGAAAACACUGUUUUCUCUUGAAAUGCUACUUUUAAUAUCAGCAGAUUAUAUUUCCAUUAUCACAUAGUUUGAGCUAAGUCAUGCAAAAACCAGGCCAUUUUAUUUAUUCUUAUUAAAUUCUGUGGUCAUACUUAAAACACCAUAGGGUCAUAAUGUACUGAAAUUCGUGGGCUGGGAGUCAAAGGAUACAACAGAGGCUAAUAAUACAAGUGUAUGGGUUACCUCUUUCUAAGAAAUGUCUCAGGACCAAAUGAGUAGGCACUGUUUAUUUUAUAGAAUGAAUUAAUGUUUUGCCAAACAAGGUUUAGGGAUGACAGGCCUGCUAUACUUCAUACCCAUAUCAGGAUUGUUGACACCAACUGCUGUAACUUUGUGUCCUGCAUAUAGCAUUCAUUCUCUACUAGCAUUCUGUAGCAUGUAUGGAUGUGCUUUUCACAAAGGAACGGUUUUCCACUAAUGCCAGCGUGUAAUUCAUUUGGAAACAAAAUUCUAAUUUAUGGAAAUUAUGGUCCAAUUCUUUAAAGGAGUUAAGUCUUGCACAACACACCACAAAUCUACUAUGGGUACCAUCAGCAGCUUCAGAUAUUCUGGACCACACUAUUUAAUUGGUGGGAUUGCAAAUACUAAAGCUUGAAUCUUAUGCAAAACAUUUCUUCUGCACCCUACUGAGGGCAAAUUUCAAAGUUAUUAAUAAAUAAUUUAGAGCCAUCUUCAUACAGGUAGUAGUGUAGUCCUCAGAAAACAAAGAAAUUUACCAAAAGCUGUAUUGAUUUCUUUGUAGUAGCAGAUGUAAGGUGCAACAAUUUGCCUUUUACUUCAAAAAUUGGGAUGCAAUGCACCAUUAGCAUUGGUUCCUAUAAAUUUGAGGAUAACACCAAAGUUUAUCAUCUACCUAGAUGUAAUAUUGCCUAGGAUUUAUUAUCUAGACUUAAGCACAGGAAAAUAUUACUAGAGCUUCCACGUACAUCUUCCAUUUUGUAUACUAAGGUACCAGAGAAAUGAACAGCAUGGUUAAAUGACUCAGCGGUUCUUUUGAAAGGUGGAGGUAGAUUGUGUUGCCAUUUGUCUCUGAGGUUCUGUAUUCUGCCACAGAAAUAAAGGAACUGACAGUGCUUGAAAAGAGGGGAAAUUAGAUUCAUUUCAAAAUUUUGAUAUACCAAAUUUGGUAUCACUAAUUUAUCUAAUCCAUAGCCAGGAUAGUGUACUACAUCAUGCACAGUAUCUGCCCAUGUUUCAUGGCUUUAGCAUGUAAAUGAUGAUGGGAGAGGGAGUACACAGAAAGGAGCUAGAUAUAUAACCUCCAAACCAGCCACAGAACCUAAAACUACUGAAGAAUCCAUUCUCUCUCACUCUACACACACACACAUUCUCUCUCUCACACACAGUCACUAUUUUAUAUGGUUGAUUAGGAGUUAUGUACAAUAAUCAAUAACAAUUAUUUUGUAACUUUGCUUGAAUAAUAUAUUAAAUGUAGACCGAUACAACUAUAGUUCCUAAUGUUCAAUCAUUAAAAUCAUGUUACUAACAUUGUCAAUAUGAUGUUUUAUCUGUAAAUGAGAAAUCUAUAUAGUGUAUUAUAAUUCCUCAUGUGAAAUUCCUUGAAGAUUUUAUACAGAAGUCAGAAAUUACAUUCCUCAGAGUAAGGAUUAGAGCAAGGAUUAUAGCUAUGGAGCUAUCAACUCUACAAACCACUUUCUCUUGUAUGACCAUAAUGGAGGAUUGGAGCAAUUUUAAAUGCAAUAACAAAAAAUAAUAUCUCUGGAAAAUACUGAGAAAUAGACAUAUGCUGGGAUAACUAAGAAUUUGUGAGAAAGAUUACAGCCAGAAUUUGAAAAAAUACACAGAGAACACUCUAAUGACAAAUUGUAUCCUUUGGUAAAUGUGUAAUCAAGUAUUGCUGUAUUAGAAAUCAAAACCCGAGGGAAUUUAUGCAGUCAAACCCUAAGAGCAGUAAUAAUCACAGCAACAAAAACAAACCCAAGAAGCUAAAAACUAAUUUAGGGACCUACCAUUAUUACUGGGUUAUGGCAUAUUCUGGCAUCUGCAAGCUACUUCACUUUGGAAACUUAAUUUCAUGCUUGCCUACACCUGUAAAACUUUUGAGUGAAGGGUCUUGUUGAGGUUUGGAAUGGUCAAAGAAAUGCCAAAACUGUGAUUAAAGAAAGGCAAGGAAAAAUUGUCAACAUCAAAGAAGUUAAUGAUAUUUUUCUUUAAAACAUAAAUUACAUUUGUAAACUGAAAAUGUUAACUGUGAAUAUGGUUGAUGCAAACGUCUGUUCAAAACAUUGCACACUGAAUUUUGUGGAGUUUAGUCUUAGAUUUCAAAUCUAGCAUUCCUUUUUACAUCCUGUAGACUAGGAUAAUGAAGCAUAUUUUUUACAAUUUUUAUAUUCUAAGUACUAUAUUUCUUUCAAAUACAUUUGAAGAAAACAUGAGUUCCAAACCUUCCCUAGUUUCACCUAGAAAAGUACAGGUUCAACUUUAUGUAUCUAAAAUGUAAGCAGAUAUAAAUGAGAAACUGAAAAAGUGAUGAACACCAUGUUAUUAAGUAAAGGAACAUGUGGGUGGUCUGUCUAAAUACUGGAUUGAAAAUGUAUCAUACAUACCUGGUAGUGUUUAAAAGGCUGCAUGCGGCUCAGACAUAUAUUAUUGUGAAAUAAUUCUUGGGUUUACAGUGGAAAUGGAUAGGUUUUACCAUGAAGUGGGGGGUAGGACAUUGAAAUAUAAGAGUGAAAAUGUAUGGAAGUACAGAAUUUGGCUGAAGUUUUGUUCAUACAAGCCAUUUUGUCUAAGGGAGCCAAUUCUACCGGCGAUGUGGGCUCAGAAAGUCUACGGAGGAAAGACUUGAUGCCUUGCUGCAAAAAUGCAAUUGACAACCUCCAGCUUUCUCAGCUUCAGAUCUAACUCAGCUACAGACAGCUGCGGUGCCUGAGGCCUUUAGAGUGUGUGGGAGGAGGACUGCAGAUGUCUUAAAUCCACUAAAUAGGUGAGGUGGGGAAUAAAGACCCACCUAUUUCAGCCUGGCUUGGGACAACUUUGUUGAUGCUGUUCUUAUUUGAUAGAUCACAAAUCCAGCUCAGCACCUGUUUCUGGAAAAUCCAGUAUGCAACACAAAGAUACCCAUAUGUUGAAUUCUAGAUUCACUUUGAGCUGUCAUUGAACAUUUUUUCCGGACACCAUCUAUUCUCUGAUGGCACAUGGAAAUUUUGAGAGAGAAAAAAAAAAACUACAUGGUACUACAAACACUAAAAGUUAAAACAACAAACUUCUUGAAAGACAUGGUUUUGUACACAGUAGUCACAUUCAAGUCACACCUAAUCCAGUUUUUCCUUCCAAAUUUCCACAUAUGCUUUCAAUCAGCUACUUUGUCUCAAGAGUAUCAGUGGGCAUUUGGGGAUUAGAAUGUUUGUGAAUGUACUUAUAUUUUCUCUGACUAUCAAAAGAUCACAGUUCCUUAUAGAACAUCAUCAUUUAAAUGAUCUAUCUGAUGUGAAUGCCCACACACUUUUAUUAUUCCUUCUUGUUUGCAUCUUUGCAAAGGCCUGUUAUUUUCACAUCCAGAAAGAGUUAUAAAAUUUAUUUUUGAUGCAUUCAGCAGUGAUGCUUUCAUUAACCUCUUCCCCACUUUCCCAGAGAGAACACGCUAGAAAGGGCUUCUUAUUUUAACACUGUCUUAGAUCUUUCUAAAAUUGGCAAACUUCACUGGGGCAUCAGAGUUUAUUUUCUAGGAACUCUUCUACCUCUGCAUUGAGCCAGUGGAUUUUCUACCUAAAGGAAGCAGAGCAUCAUGAUCACACUCAUAGAAACUCAUUCUAUAAGAUGCAUUCAAAGACAUGAUGCUAACACUGCUACUUAGAACUUCGCAUUAUUGAGUCCUCGUCUGAUCACCAACAGCAUUGGCUAUUUGGGUUAAUGCUUUGAAUUGCCAUGGAAGCACAUCUAAAAAUUACCACUGAUGUUGCCUAGGUACAGUCACUUAGCUUAGUUUUUCUUUUUUAAUUUAGCAUCAUUUUAAAUUAUCUACUUAUUUGUUUAAAUAUAAUAUACCUGCACAUGAUAACAAUUCAAAAUAGGAAAUUCUUCCUUAGUCCCCCACCCACUAUCCAAUGUAAACUAACAUGCUCAUAUUUUAAAAAUAAUUUAGUGUAUAAACUUCAUGUUUUCUGCCUACAUCUUUUCCAAAUGCAACAGAUUUUUCUCAAAAAAAUUCAAUGUAUUUCUCAAGGUCACAGAACUAUUAUGUAAAGGAACCAGAACUGAAUCCAGGUAUUUUUGACUCUAAAUAAGCAUGCUCUUAAUCACAAUAUCCAAAAUAUUAAGAAUAAAUGCAAUUCACAGAUCCCUUGUUAAAAUAAUGAGAUAAGUUGUUCAAGUUUUUAGAAAGUAUCUUUUUCUUGGAUCAAAAUAUUGUCAGAAUACAUAUUUUGUUACAGAAAAAUACCUGCCUGUCACAUGCCAAGAAUAUCCCCUAUAAUAUCCAAAUCAAGGAAGUCUACACUGCAAAAGUCUUCCCACUUCAUGCAGUGCACAACUACAUUAAAACCCUGGUAACAAAUUUCAAGGUUUAGUUUUAAUCUCCAAUUCAGUGAAUUUGAUGGGUUCCAAAGAACAGUCAGCAAAGAAUACACUUCAACCAAAGGGUGAGAUUAAUAACUUUCUAUAAAGUUACUAUUCCUUCUAAAAUGAGAUGAGUAUGCAAGGCUAUUCCUAGCACCAAAAUACUUGUAGAACAUGGAGCCAGAUGGUAGAAAACUUUCAUAGGCAUACAAGAAGUUUUAGGAUUGCAUGAAUAAGAAAUCCUUAUCUACUGAUAUGUAACUAAAGGCAAGGAUUUUGCAGCACAUAUUGUGGAGAAUGUAACCUUCUAAGAGAAAGAAUUCUGAAAACACAAAAAUCAAAAUGAAUUUUAGUUAACGUAGAUGUAGAAAUGUAAAAUUUUACUAAAAUAUCAAGAAUACUCACAUAGGAAAGGGAUAUCUCCAUUCUCUUUAGUGUUAUACAAGAAUACAAACAAAACUAGUACUUGGAUGGACCACAUCAACAAUACCAAAAGACAUCCCUUGGCUAAAUGCUUUUCAUUAGUUUUGGUAAAGUAAAACCAUAUGUUAAUGGAGGGCUUUUUAAGGUCUGUACUUUUAAGUCUCAUGUAACCUGCCACAUAAAUACAUACAUAUUUUGUAGACUGUUAGGGAUUUAUACAUUUAAAACUAGUACAUCUAUACUGUUCACAAAAUAUGGCAUUGAAUAUUGGUUGUUACAUGAAACAAAUACACACUUGGAUUUAUUCUACCAAAUUUGCUACAGCUGCCUUGAUUCUGGAACCAAAAAUAGGCGGUUUAGGUAAGAUGAGCAAUAAAUCACAAUUGAUUCUUGUUUACUAGAGGCUAUGCUUGACUUUGCAUGAGUUUAGUAUUGUUCAUAAUCUGAAAACACAACUUAGUUUUUCUCUCUUGAUUUAAGAUACAUCUCAGAGUUGAGGGUGGCUAGUUACAACUGAUGAGCAUAUUUCAAUAUGCAACUAAUAUGCCCAUUUAGAUCCAUGGAAGCAAAAUGCAUCCAAGGUUAAAAAAAAUGUGGGGUUAAGAAACCAGAAUGGUAAAAUAUCAUCAAUGGCCCUUUCAUGUUAUCCAUCUCUGAAGAGAUGGAAAAGUCUUCGUCCAAACCAUAUUAUUUGCACCCUGUUUAAUCAUGGUGAAUCACUGUACUGUCAUUCUCAGAUUUAGUAUGUGUUGUUUAUAAUAUUUUUCUAUAAAUAUAUUACAUAUGCUUUAUUGAAAAUGCAGAAAGUAGAGAUAAACUUUCAUGAGAAAACUGAAUUUUCUCCAAAUUCUACUAUCAAGAAGUGAACACAUAUCAUUAUGCCACAACAUAGAUCCCAUUUAGUGUAUAUUUUGUUUUAAUUGAAUUUGAUUCCAUUAGAAUGCAAACUAUAUUAGAAAAAACAUUUGAUGGUCUUUUAUCAUUAAAAUCUCCCAUAACCACUUAUCAAUAUGUGAUGUCCACUGAGCUUCAUCCUGCUCCAUUACAUAUUAAAAUUAUAUAUGCCAUUUUGAAGAUAUGCUUUAGAUUUUUGUCUAUUUCUUAUGCUUUAUCCUUAUUUACACAGUAUCCUGGGUGUUUCAGGCUUUGAAUUUUUGCAUAAAUUUUGAUUUAGAGUUUAUCACAGGUCCAUGUAUGCAUUCAACUGUGAUUAUGAGUUUUUAGAUAUAUCUAUAUACAUGGUACAAAGGAGAGAGGUGAGUGGAAUUUGAUGUUCACAUUCUAGAAAUGCACUCCUGAACUUAACAUUGGAAAUAAAAUUGUCAUAACAGUAUGAGAAACUGAUUUUAGUAAGAGUAGGAAAAAAACUUGAAAAAUAAUUAAUUUGGGGAUGGUUGUUUUGUGCAGGUGUUAAUCAUUGAUUAGGGCAUCCACACCCUAUGUCUGAGUCCUUGGAUUCAGGUCCUGAUUCUUCUUCAGCUGCAGCUUCUGACUAAAAUGCACCCUGGAAGUCUGAAGAUGAUGGCUCAAGCACUUGGAUUCUGCCACCCACAUGGGAGAUCUGGACUGAGCUCCAGGUUCCUGACUUCUGCUGCAUCCAUCCCUGGAUCUUACAGGCAAUUGGGGAGUGAACCUGUGGAUGGAAGAUUCUCUUUCUCUUUCUGUUUCUCUUUCUGUUUCUCUUUCUGUUUCUCUUUCUCUUUCUCUUUCUCUCUCUCUCUCUCUCUUUCUCUCUCUCUCUUUAUCAUCUCCAUCUCUAUCUUUAUCUCUGUCUCUAUCAUUUAUCUAUUUCUAUUUCUAUCUCCGAUUUUCAAAUAAAUAUUAAAAAUAGUAAAGUUUGACUCAAAAAUUCUAUUUUUAUGAAACAAAAAUAUAAAUAGAAAGCACUCUUUAUCACCUUAAAUAUUUUAUCUUAAAGUUGCAUCUUUGUGAUUGUUCCAUGGUAACAAAUAGAAAUACGUCUGUGAAAAAUGGUGCUUGGCAUCUCCCUGCACUGCUGCUCUACACUAAGUUAAACAGCUUAGAAAAUAUCUUCACUGUUCUCCUCACAUAAGCAGUUAUAAAACUGACAUCUUUGUUUAUGUGUUUGUGAUGAGUGUGGGUACCUCUGUCUCAAAUCAGAUGGCAUGAGAAUUUUCCACAAAUAAUGUCUAUUUGCUAUUUUAAGAGUCUUGAAAAAUCAAUAUUCUUAUGAAUGGUUUAUGAAAGCAUUCUAGUUAACCUUGCAUGAGGUUAUAACCUUACUUGAGGUUUUAUCUUCAUCAAUUCAGUUGGUGGAAAAGCAGUUUUACUUAUUUUGAAACGUUUCUUCAUUUGUUACUAAUUGGAAUUUAACCAAUUAUUUAUGUUGGGUUACCAUUGUGGUCAAAACAAAUUACUGUACACUUAGUGGUUAAACAACAUAUAUUUAUUCAACAGUAAUAUAUGUCAAAUACCCUGGUGGGCUCAUUUGUAUCCCUUGUCUAGGUUCUCCCAAGGAUAUAAUCGAAAGAUUGACAGAGAUGUCUACUUUACUGGAGCUCUGGAGAAGAUUUCACUUCCAAGCUCAUCCAGGUUUUUGGACAAAUUUUAUUCCUCAUGGUUGUUGGGCUGCAGUCUCCAUUUCCUUGCUAGAUCUCUGUGGAGGUUUGGACUUUGUUCUCCUUUUUGCUGCCCCUCUCUUGUUUCAGCCUGGGGAUGCUUUGUUUGUUUGUUUGUUUGUUUGUUUUGAGGGCUACAUGCAGUUAGACUGUGUCCAACUCAACAGUCCAGAGCAUUUUCUCUGUUUUAAGGUGCUUAAUCUCAACCGCAACUCUAAAUUCCCUUUUAAACAACAUAUUUACAUGUGACAGGAAAUAGACCAUUGACAUAACUGGGGGAGAGGCAUUGUACCUAUCAAACAAAUGUGUUUGAUCAAUCAUUUAAUCCUAGAUCAGAGAAGAAUGUGGACUCAUCUAUUUUAGCCUUAAAUUAUACCUAUCCAAUGCUGAUUGAUGGGAAAAUGAUAUUCUUAAUAUCUUAAAUGAGGAAUUAGACCUUGAAUUAUGCACUGAUAAAUUUUAAUAUAUAAAACCAGCAUAAAUAUGUUCAUAGAGACACAGAUAUUGAGAAAUAUCACCAUUUUUGAGAAAUGUCACUUUAAAAUAAAAUUUUCCACUGUAUUAUAACUACUUACUCAUGACACAAAAUUACGAAUUCAAGAAAUGGGAAAUUUCUAAUGGUUAAGUCAUGUAUAAGGUGUGUGUGUGUGUGAUUUUUACCAUGUUUGUAUAUGUGUCCUAAGGCAACAAUCCCAAUGUCAAUCAAACUUAUUACAAUUAGAAUCAUGAAAUUAUAAGACACUACAACCGGGUUCUAAAUAUGUUCGACAUUGUGCAAGACUGCAUCAUGCUCCUUCACCACCGGAAUCCAUGUCCCAAUCACCAGAACAUGUGAAUAUAUUCUAUUUCAUGGCAAAGGGCAAUUAAAUGAAUGCUUUCGUGAUUCAAAUGCAUAUCUACUUGACACAAUGUCAGCGAGAUUGGUGUAGGAGAGUAAAAGCAUCCAGACAGUUUCUCAGUAAUCACCAUCAUGCAAGCAUGUAGGGUACCGUGGCUCCUCAGCAUUGGCUUAUUUCAGCUUGAAAAAAGAAAAAUGCCACUUGUUUCUUUUAGUAGCUUCUAACU
Oryctolagus cuniculus (rabbit) is the source of this 10097-nucleotide non-coding RNA. The record is from RefSeq and is a predicted model, not a curated record. Lineage: Eukaryota; Metazoa; Chordata; Mammalia; Lagomorpha; Leporidae.